This 253-nucleotide ribosomal RNA is filed under the name uncultured bacterium. RNAcentral's name for it is "partial 16S ribosomal RNA". It matches the Rfam family "Bacterial small subunit ribosomal RNA", at positions 524 to 776 of the family's 1533-position model. The record is from RNAcentral.
UACGGAGGGUGCAAGCGUUAUUCGGAAUUAUUGGGUUUAAAGGGUGCGUAGGCGGAGAAUUAAGUCAGAGGUGAAAUACAAUAGCUUAACUAUUGUGCUGCCUUUGAUACUGGUUUUCUUGAGUAAUGUAGAGGUAAGUGGAAUUUAUAAUGUAGCGGUGAAAUGCAUAGAUAUUAUAAAGAACAUCGAUUGCGAAGGCAGCUUACUGGACAUUUACUGACGCUGAGGCACGAAAGUGUGGGUAGCGAACAGG